Molecule: ribosomal RNA, 465 nt
Filed under: Vreelandella stevensii
Lineage: Bacteria; Pseudomonadati; Pseudomonadota; Gammaproteobacteria; Oceanospirillales; Halomonadaceae
Description: partial 16S ribosomal RNA
Rfam family: Bacterial small subunit ribosomal RNA
Source: RNAcentral
CCUACGGGCGGCAGCAGUGGGGAAUAUUGGACAAUGGGCGAAAGCCUGAUCCAGCCAUGCCGCGUGUGUGAAGAAGGCCUUCGGGUUGUAAAGCACUUUCAGUGGGGAAGAAAGCCUUGGGGCUAAUACCCUCGAGGAAGGACAUCACCCACAGAAGAAGCACCGGCGAACUCCGUGCCAGCAGCCGCGGUAAUACGGAGGGUGCGAGCGUUAAUCGGAAUUACUGGGCGUAAAGCGCGCGUAGGCGGUCUGAUAAGCCGGUUGUGAAAGCCCCGGGCUCAACCUGGGAACGGCAUCCGGAACUGUCAGGCUGGAGUGCAGGAGAGGAAGGUAGAAUUCCCGGUGUAGCGGUGAAAUGCGUAGAGAUCGGGAGGAAUACCAGUGGCGAAGGCGGCCUUCUGGACUGACACUGACGCUGAGGUGCGAAAGCGUGGGUAGCAAACAGGAUUAGAUACCCCUGUAGUC